This 253-nucleotide ribosomal RNA is filed under the name uncultured bacterium. RNAcentral describes it as "partial 16S ribosomal RNA". It matches the Rfam family "Bacterial small subunit ribosomal RNA", at positions 524 to 776 of the family's 1533-position model. The record is from RNAcentral.
UACGUAGGGUGCAAGCGUUGUCCGGAAUUAUUGGGCGUAAAGAGCUCGUAGGCGGUUUGUCGCGUCGAAUGUGAAAACCCGGGGCUCAACCCCGGGCCUGCAUUCGAUACGGGCAGACUAGAGUUCGGUAGGGGAGUCUGGAAUUCCUGGUGUAGCGGUGAAAUGCGCAGAUAUCAGGAGGAACACCGGUGGCGAAGGCGGGACUCUGGGCCGAUACUGACGCUGAGGCGCGAAAGCCAGGGGAGCGAACGGG